RNAcentral lists this small nuclear RNA (161 nucleotides) under Nippostrongylus brasiliensis. RNAcentral describes it as "U2 spliceosomal RNA". It matches the Rfam family "U2 spliceosomal RNA". From Rfam's summary of the family: U2 is a small nuclear RNA (snRNA) component of the spliceosome (involved in pre-mRNA splicing). Complementary binding between U2 snRNA (in an area lying towards the 5' end but 3' to hairpin I) and the branchpoint sequence (BPS) of the intron results the bulging out of an unpaired adenosine, on the BPS, which initiates a nucleophilic attack at the intronic 5' splice site, thus starting the first of two transesterification reactions that mediate splicing. Lineage: Eukaryota; Metazoa; Nematoda; Chromadorea; Rhabditida; Heligmosomidae. The record is from Rfam by way of RNAcentral.
AUCGCUUCUCGGCGUUUUGGCUAUGAUCAAAGUUUAGUUUCUGUUCUUAUCGAAUAACCUUCGAUAGAGAUUCGAUUGAAUCUCGUUAAGGUUAUUUCAUUUUUGAGACCGGAUGAAGUAGUGGGCUUGCUCGCUCUUCAUCACGGGUCGGCCAGCAGCGU